GGCCUUACCUGGCAGGGGAGAUACCAUAAUCAUGAAGGUGUUUUUCCCAGAGUGAGGCUCAUCCAUUGCACUCCAGGUGUGCUGACUUCUGCGAUUUCCCCAAAUGCGAGAAACUUGACUGUAUAAUUUGUGGUUGCCGUGGCCCAGCAGGUAUUCUACUUCUCAUCU
Sceloporus undulatus (fence lizard) is the source of this 168-nucleotide small nuclear RNA. RefSeq annotates it as U1 spliceosomal RNA. The transcript has a single exon. NCBI's taxonomy places the organism in Eukaryota, Metazoa, Chordata, Lepidosauria, Squamata, Phrynosomatidae. The record is from RefSeq and is a predicted model, not a curated record.